This 255-nucleotide ribosomal RNA is filed under the name uncultured bacterium. RNAcentral's name for it is "partial 16S ribosomal RNA". It matches the Rfam family "Bacterial small subunit ribosomal RNA", at positions 524 to 776 of the family's 1533-position model. The record is from RNAcentral.
UACGUAGGGGGGCAAGCGUUGUCCGGAUUUAUUGGGCGUAAAGAGCGUGUAGGCGGCUUCACAGGUCCGCUGUGAAAACUCGAGGCUCAACCUCGAGCUGUCGGUGGAAACCGUGUGGCUAGAGUCCGGAAGAGGAGAGUGGAAUUCCCGGUGUAGCGGUGAAAUGCGCAGAUAUCGGGAAGAACACCCGUGGCGAAGGCGGCUCACUGGACCAUAACUGACGCUGAUGCACGAAAGCUGGGGGGAGCAAACAGG